AUUAGUGGCGAACGGGUGAGUAAUACGUGAGUAACCUACCUUUAACUCUGGGAUAAGCCUGGGAAACUGGGUCUAAUACCGGAUACGACCAAUCUCCGCAUGGGGUGUUGGUGGAAAGCGUUAUGUAGUGGUUAUAGAUGGGCUCACGGCCUAUCAGCUUGUUGGUGAGGUAACGGCUCACCAAGGCGACGACGGGUAGCCGGCCUGAGAGGGUGACCGGCCACACUGGGACUGAGACGCGGCCCAG
RNAcentral lists this ribosomal RNA (247 nucleotides) under uncultured Actinomycetales bacterium. RNAcentral describes it as "partial 16S ribosomal RNA". It matches the Rfam family "Bacterial small subunit ribosomal RNA", at positions 91 to 334 of the family's 1533-position model. Lineage: Bacteria; Bacillati; Actinomycetota; Actinomycetes; Actinomycetales. The record is from RNAcentral.